Labeo rohita (rohu) is the source of this 948-nucleotide long non-coding RNA. RefSeq lists it as uncharacterized. The transcript is spliced from 4 exons. The record is from RefSeq and is a predicted model, not a curated record. Lineage: Eukaryota; Metazoa; Chordata; Actinopteri; Cypriniformes; Cyprinidae.
UUUACAAGGCUUUUUGAAUGUGUGCCUUUAAGAGAUCUAUUUAAGUAAAAUGUUCUUAAAAGACUAACAAGUGGAUUAGGCUGCUAACGCGAUCUUGACUGAGGCCAUUUUGAAUUUUCCGUUCAACGGGUGAGAAGGACUGCAUUUUUCUCCAUGGCUAUCAACCCAAAGGGUGCUGAAAAGAAAUUUGACAUCAGCAUUGAGGUCAUUUAUGACUCAACCACAUCUCUGUCAUGAAUCUACUCCAUCAGAGGCCAGCGCCACCAAAAAAGGGAGUCUGACGUCAAAAUUGAGCUCUAAUUAUGACUGGAGCACUACUGAAGCAUUAUCACACGAGGAGCAAGAGACAAGACUAAACUCUUUUCUGUCAGAGACCAACUGAAAAAGAAUCUGGAUGAUGAAGAUGCCUUGGAAAUCCAAGAAGAUCCAGUCAAUUCCCAUCAACAAUCCCACAUGUCAGGAAUGAAUAUACUUGUCAUUUACUUGUUUGUCACUCCAAACCCAUAAGACUUUUAUUAAUCUUUGAAACACAAAUGAAAUCUGAGAGAUUUCUCUCCCUCCUUUGACAGUCCAUGCAACUACCACUUCAAUGCUUUAAAAAGUUCAUAAUCGAGAAGUUUUUAAUUAAAUUUUUUCCGCAGAGCCAUGAUUGCUUCGUAUGAUAAACAGUUUGAAUUUAGCAUUUUAUUCACAUAUAAAUGCUGAUCAGUAAACAUAAAAAACUUGCUUGACACAUAAGAAUAAACCUCACUGGUUCUUGCAGAAGCUUAAACAUGCUGCAUAACACAAGAAUGAACCUCAUUAGUUCUCACACAUCGAGCAAGAACUUUUGAGUUUCUGUUUACCAUUACUGAUCUGCUCUGACGAUUGUGUAUAUAUGAAUUAGAAGCUAAGUUAGAUCUGAUCAUUAUAUAAAGUGAUCAAGUCUCUUUAGAAAAUUUUGACUAA